UCAUACAAUAGAGGUGCAAGGGCUGUCGCUGAUCUUCAAAGGUUGUGCACGCCUGAGCACUCUCUCAUACAUCCAUCUCUCACCCCCUUUGUGCAUCACCGCGUGGGUUCCCCUGGAAGGGGGGGCCUGCGUUUUUAUCAUAAAACUUGAUACAGUGUGGAAUGUUUAUUUUUGCGGUCAUACGCAAUCAAUA
Molecule: unclassified non-coding RNA, 193 nt
Filed under: uncultured Russulaceae
Lineage: Eukaryota; Fungi; Basidiomycota; Agaricomycetes; Russulales; Russulaceae
Description: sequence contains ITS1
Source: RNAcentral